Molecule: ribosomal RNA, 211 nt
Filed under: uncultured archaeon
Lineage: Archaea
Description: partial 16S ribosomal RNA
Rfam family: Archaeal small subunit ribosomal RNA
Source: RNAcentral
AAGCGUCCGUAGCUGGCCCUGCAAGUCCGUCGGGAAAUCACUCGCCUAACGAGUGGGCGUCCGGCGGAAACUACAGGGCUUGGGACCGGAAGACUUGAGGGGUACGUCUGGGGUAGGAGUGAAAUCCUGUAAUCCUGGACGGACCGCCGAUAGCGAAAGCACCUCAAGACGACGGAUCCGACAGUGAGGGACGAAAGCUAGGGUCUCGAAC